AGCGAACGCUGGCGGCAGGCCUAACACAUGCAAGUCGAACGAACUCUUCGGAGUUAGUGGCGGACGGGUGAGUAACACGUGGGAACGUGCCUUUUGGUUCGGAAUAACUCAGGGAAACUUGUGCUAAUACCGAAUGUGCCCUUCGGGGGAAAGAUUUAUCGCCAUUAGAGCGGCCCGCGUCUGAUUAGCUAGUUGGUGAGGUAACGGCUCACCAAGGCGACGAUCAGUAGCUGGUCUGAGAGGAUGACCAGCCACACUGGGACUGAGACACGGCCCAGACUCCUACGGGAGGCAGCAGUGGGGAAUCUUGCGCAAUGGGCGAAAGCCUGACGCAGCCAUGCCGCGUGAAUGAUGAAGGUUUUAGGAUUGUAAAAUUCUUUCACCGGGGACGAUAAUGACGGUACCCGGAGAAGAAGCCCCGGCUAACUUCGUG
Molecule: ribosomal RNA, 433 nt
Filed under: uncultured bacterium
Lineage: Bacteria
Description: partial 16S ribosomal RNA
Rfam family: Bacterial small subunit ribosomal RNA
Source: RNAcentral